RNAcentral lists this long non-coding RNA (404 nucleotides) under Marmota monax (woodchuck). The record is from RNAcentral. Lineage: Eukaryota; Metazoa; Chordata; Mammalia; Rodentia; Sciuridae.
UCAUAGGGAGAGAAAAGUAGGAUAAGGCCAUAUGGAGCAUGUUUUAAAACAAAAUGUUGAACAAGAACUCAAGUGUGAUAAACAUGGUGGUCAGGAGAAGAAUGGCUGGUAUGCACACUGCAAAGUAGAGUCUACAGAGUGAGGAGACAUUUCAACAUUUUAAAAGCCUAGCCCACGGCUCCCUACUCAUUGUUCUUUUUUGGACCACAUUUUUCCCAUAAAAAUUCUGAAUACAGCUAGGCAUGGUGGCACAUGCCUAUAAUCCAAGAGACUCAGGAGGCUGAGAUAGGAGGAUCACAAGUUUGACGCCAGUCUCAGCAAUUCAGCAAGACCUUGUCUGAAAAUAAAAAAUAAUGACUGGGAAUGUGGCUCAGUGGUAGCUCACUUGGAAUGCAUGAAACCUA